AUUUUGUUUGGACAAGUUUCAAAUUUAAGAACUAUUAGAUUUAGGAAACUAUAUGCUAGCAAAUAACCAACCUGUUUGAGAAAUGGGGAGAUUAAUUAAUCGCUAUCACAUGAAACGAGAUCGAAACAAACAUAUAGUGUCUUAACAAAAAGUAAAACAAGCAGAUCCAUGAGCGACUUAUACCUGCAGGAAGAUGAGGUGCAUAAUGACCAAACUAUUUAACACUCCUAAUAAAGUGAUUAAGGUAUUCCUACGACUAUUAACCCAAGAUCAGACAAGAAACAAAAGAAUGUAGAAGAGCAACUCCAAAGACUUACUCACACACUAUCGCAAGUAACAAG
This 341-nucleotide unclassified non-coding RNA is filed under the name Hevea brasiliensis (rubber tree). Lineage: Eukaryota; Viridiplantae; Streptophyta; Magnoliopsida; Malpighiales; Euphorbiaceae. The record is from RNAcentral.